AGAGUUUGAUCCUGGCUCAGGACGAACGCUGGCGGCGUGCCUAACACAUGCAAGUCGAACGGGGUCAAGAGAGCUUGCUUUUUUGACUUAGUGGCGAACGGGUGAGUAACGCGUGAGGAACCUGCCUUUCAGUGGGGACAACAGUUGGAAACGACUGCUAAUACCGCAUAACAUGUACGGAUCGCAUGGUCUGUACAUCAAAGCUUUAUGUGCUGAAAGAUGGCCUCGCGUCUGAUUAGCUAGUUGGUGGGGUAACGGCCCACCAAGGCGACGAUCAGUAGCCGGUCUGAGAGGAUGAACGGCCACAUUGGGACUGAGAUACGGCCCAGACUCCUACGGGAGGCAGCAGUGGGGAAUAUUGGGCAAUGGGGGAAACCCUGACCCAGCAACGCCGCGUGAAGGAAGAAGGCCUUCGGGUUGUAAACUUCUUUUACCAGGGACGAAGGACGUGACGGUACCUGGAGAAAAAGCAACGGCUAACUACGUGCCAGCAGCCGCGGUAAUACGUAGGUUGCAAGCGUUGUCCGGAUUUACUGGGUGUAAAGGGCGUGUAGGCGGAGAUGCAAGUUGGGAGUGAAAUCCCGGGGCUCAACCCCGGAACUGCUUUCAAAACUGCAUCCCUUGAGUAUCGGAGAGGCAAGCGGAAUUCCUAGUGUAGCGGUGAAAUGCGUAGAUAUUAGGAGGAACACCAGUGGCGAAGGCGGCUUGCUGGACGACAACUGACGCUGAGGCGCGAAAGCGUGGGGAGCAAACAGGAUUAGAUACCCUGGUAGUCCACGCUGUAAACGAUGAAUACUAGGUGUGGGGGGACUGACCCCCUCCGUGCCGCAGUUAACACAAUAAGUAUUCCACCUGGGGAGUACGACCGCAAGGUUGAAACUCAAAGGAAUUGACGGGGGCCCGCACAAGCAGUGGAUUAUGUGGUUUAAUUCGACGCAACGCGAAGAACCUUACCAGGACUUGACAUCCAACUAACGAAGUAGAGAUACAUUAGGUGCCCUUCGGGGAAAGUUGAGACAGGUGGUGCAUGGUUGUCGUCAGCUCGUGUCGUGAGAUGUUGGGUUAAGUCCCGCAACGAGCGCAACCCCUAUUGUUAGUUGCUACGCAAGAGCACUCUAGCGAGACUGCCGUUGACAAAACGGAGGAAGGCGGGGACGACGUCAAAUCAUCAUGCCCCUUAUGUCCUGGGCUACACACGUAAUACAAUGGCCGUCAACAAAGGGAAGCAAUACUGCGAAGUGGAGCAAAUCCCCAAAAACGGUCUCAGUUCGGAUUGCAGGCUGCAACUCGCCUGCAUGAAGCUGGAAUUGCUAGUAAUCGUGGAUCAGCAAGCCACGGUGAAUACGUUCCCGGGCCUUGCACACACCGCCCGUCA
This 1375-nucleotide ribosomal RNA is filed under the name uncultured bacterium. Its description in RNAcentral is "bacterial SSU rRNA". It matches the Rfam family "Bacterial small subunit ribosomal RNA". The record is from RNAcentral.